Molecule: long non-coding RNA, 215 nt
Filed under: Mytilus galloprovincialis (Mediterranean mussel)
Lineage: Eukaryota; Metazoa; Mollusca; Bivalvia; Mytilida; Mytilidae
Source: RNAcentral
AUUCGGUAGAAUCGGGACGCAGUCGUGACAGACUCGGUCGAAUUUUACCUGGCGAAAGAUACAAAUCGGAUUAGAAGCGGAUUUAGAACGGGAUUAUCGGGAUAAAUUCGCUUGGAAACGGUUGAAUAUCGACGCUUCCUGAACAAUAUCUGAUUGCUGUCGUGAUUAAAUUUUUUUUUUACAAAUUUUAAUUAAAGUUUGAAUUUCCAUCCACG